RNAcentral lists this ribosomal RNA (1096 nucleotides) under Dothideomycetes sp. genotype 684 JMUR-2016. Its description in RNAcentral is "eukaryotic LSU rRNA". The stretch from base 501 to 1096 matches the Rfam family "Eukaryotic large subunit ribosomal RNA", at positions 1 to 599 of the family's 3401-position model. The record is from RNAcentral. Lineage: Eukaryota; Fungi; Ascomycota; Dothideomycetes.
AUCAUUACCAAUUUAGGUGUCCUAGGGCUAUGGCCUCCCCGCCAGAACCCCUGGUUCACCCCCGAUAACUCGGGUACCCUUGCAUCUUGAGUACCACAUUUUAGCUUCCUGGGCAGGUACGCUUGCCCAUGGAAUCCUUCUCAAAACCUUCUGUAAUGUUGUAGUAUCAGUCAUUAUUAAAAUCGUAUAACAACUUUCAACAAUGGAUCUCUUGGCUCUGGCAUCGAUGAAGAACGCAGCAAAAUGCGAUAAGUAGUGUGAAUUGCAGAAUUCCGUGAAUCAUCGAAUCUUUGAACGCACAUUGCGCCCCUAGGUAUUCCUUGGGGCAUGCCUGUUCGAGCGUCAUUUACACCCUCAAGCUUUGCUUGGUGUUGGGCGUCUGUCCCCCCGGACUCGCCUCAAAGCAAUUGGCAAGCCACUAUCCCGGCCCGGAGAUGCAGCAGAAUUGCGCUCCUGGUCGCUGUGUGAUAUGGCAUCCAUGAAGCAAACAACUACUAGUUUGACCUCGAAUCAGGUAGGGAUACCCGCUGAACUUAAGCAUAUCAAUAAGCGGAGGAAAAGAAACCAACAGGGAUUGCCCUAGUAACGGCGAGUGAAGCGGCAAUAGCUCAAAUUUGAAAUCUGGCUCUCUUCAGGGUCCGAGUUGUAAUUUGCAGAGGGUGCUUUGGUGUUGGCUGUGGUCCAAGUUCCCUGGAACAGGACGUCGCAGAGGGUGAGAACCCCGUAUGUGGCCGCCAGCCUUCGCCGUGUAAAGCCCCUUCGACGAGUCGAGUUGUUUGGGAAUGCAGCUCUAAAUGGGAGGUAAAUUCCUUCUAAAGCUAAAUACUGGCCAGAGACCGAUAGCGCACAAGUAGAGUGAUCGAAAGAUGAAAAGCACUUUGGAAAGAGAGUGAAACAGCACGUGAAAUUGUUGAAAGGGAAGCGCUUGCAGCCAGACGUGCCCGCAGUUGCUCACCUGGGGUUUUCCCCAGGGCACUCUUCUGCGGGCAGGCCAGCAUCAGUUUGGGCGGUUGGACAAAAGCCUGCUAAACGUACCUCCCUCCGGGGAGGACUUAUAGGGUAGGUGGCAUACAACCAGCCUAGACUGAGGACCGCG